Long non-coding RNA from Oncorhynchus kisutch (coho salmon), 1659 nucleotides. NCBI's taxonomy places the organism in Eukaryota, Metazoa, Chordata, Actinopteri, Salmoniformes, Salmonidae. The record is from Ensembl.
UCCUGGCCUGUUUCUCCCAUAGAGCUAAGAGGAGCUGGCCCUAUCCUGUCCUGUCCUGAUCUGUUUCUCCCAUAGAGCUAAGAGGAGCUGGCCCUAUCCUGUCCUGUCCUGAUCCGUUUCUCCCAUAGAGCUAAGAUGAGCUGGCCUAUUUCUCCCAUAGAGCUAUGAGGAGCUGGCCCUAUCCUGUCCUGGCCUGGCCUGUUUCUCCCAUAGAGCUAAGAGGAGCUGGCCCUAUCCUGUCCUGGCCUGGCCUGUUUCUCCCAUAGAGCUAAGAGGAGCUGGCCCUAUCCUGUCCUGGCCUGGCCUGUUUCUCCCAUAGAGCUAAGAGGAGCUGGCCUGUCCUGGCCUGGCCUGGCCUGUUUCUCCCAUAGAGCUAGCUAGAGGGCUCUGCUUUGCACCUGUGCGACAAUGUCUUGUGUGACAGCAUGUGCUGCACCAUAGAGGUCUGUCUAAGUCUAUGGUCGCUCUCCCUAAUGACACACGACGAUGAAUGACCCACUGGACUGUCAACCUUCUUUUUGACCUCUUCUUCUUCUGUCUUUUAUCGGCCUUUAGUUCUAUGGUGAUGUAUUUCCUGUUUAGGUAAUGAAACCCCUCCGCAAGCCAAAGCCGCCGACUCCCUGAGUGCUUGAACAUACUGAUUUAUACUGAGACAUGAGGAGCAUUAACACCCUGUAUAUUCCUAUAUAUUAUAUAUAUAUAUAUAUUCCUGUAACAUACGUGUAUAUAUUGUGUUUAUAAUAGUAAUAAUAAUAACUACAAUGUCUAAUGGAGGAAGAUGAAGGACGACAACAAGCCUUGGGGUCAAUAACAAGCCUUGUUUUAAUGUAAUUCUCUCUAACCUUGGGGUCAAUAACAAGCCUUGUUUUAAUGUGGGCUGGAAUAUGACAACAGAAGAUUACCGAUUGGUCAUGUUGAUAUUGAAUACUCUGUUUUUAUUGGUCAGGUUGUAUGUCUUAUAACAGUUUGGGCAUCCUGGUUUUAGAUGAUCAGUUGGCCUUAACACUUCCUGUUUCACUGCCUCGGGACCCUCCCUCUACUCUCUCUUCUUCCUGUUUCACUGCCUCGGGACCCUCCCUCUACGGUCUCUCUCCUUCUUCCUGUUUCACUGCCUCGCACCCUACCUCUACGGUCUCUCUCCUUCUUCCUGUUUCACUGCCUCAGACCCUCCCUCUACUGUCUCUCUCUCUCUUCUUCCUGUUUCACUGCCUUACCCUCCCUCUACUGUCUCUCUCUUCUUCCUGUUUCACUGCCUUACCCUCCCUCUACUGUAUCUCUCUUCUUCCUGUUUCACUGCCUCGAACCCUCCCUCUACUGUCUCUCUCUUCUUCCUGUUUCACUGCCUUACCCUCCCUCUACUGUCUCUCUCUUCUUCCUGUUUCACUGCCUCGGUACCUCCCUCUACUAUCUCUCUUCUUCCUGUUUCACUGCCUCGAACCCUCCCUCUACUGUCUCUCUCUCUCUCUCUCUCUUCUUCCUGUUUCACUGCCUCGAACCCUCCCUCUACUGUCUCUCUCUCUCUUCUUCCUGUUUCACUGCCUUACCCUCCCUCUACUGUCUCUCUUCUUCCUGUUCCCCGGGUUACGUUCCAAAAUGGCACCUUAUUCCCUAUUUGGUGUUGGAAAAGGUCACUCGUGCGCUAGUGCACUAAAUAUUUAG